AUUGAACGCUGGCGGCAUGCCUUACACAUGCAAGUCGAACGGCAGCGCGGGGGCAACCCUGGCGGCGAGUGGCGAACGGGUGAGUAAUACAUCGGAACGUGUCCAGUCGUGGGGGAUAACCAGUCGAAAGACUGGCUAAUACCGCAUGCGCCCGAAAGGGGAAAGCGGGGGACCUGUGAGGGCCUCGCGCGAUUGGAGCGGCCGAUGUCCGAUUAGCUAGUUGGUGAGGUAACGGCUCACCAAGGCGACGAUCGGUAGCUGGUCUGAGAGGACGACCAGCCACACUGGGACUGAGACACGGCCCAGACUCCUACGGGAGGCAGCAGUGGGGAAUUUUGGACAAUGGGGGCAACCCUGAUCCAGCCAUGCCGCGUGUGUGAUGAAGGCCU
RNAcentral lists this ribosomal RNA (389 nucleotides) under uncultured bacterium. Its description in RNAcentral is "bacterial SSU rRNA". It matches the Rfam family "Bacterial small subunit ribosomal RNA", at positions 28 to 417 of the family's 1533-position model. The record is from RNAcentral.